UGCUUGCACCUGAUUGAUUUUGGUCGCCAACGAGUGGCGGACGGGUGAGUAACACGUAGGUAACCUGCCCAGAAGCGGGGGACAACAUUUGGAAACAGAUGCUAAUACCGCAUAACAACGUUGUUCGCAUGAACAACGCUUAAAAGAUGGCUUCUCGCUAUCACUUCUGGAUGGACCUGCGGUGCAUUAGCUUGUUGGUGGGGUAAUGGCCUACCAAGGCGAUGAUGCAUAGCCGAGUUGAGAGACUGAUCGGCCACAAUGGGACUGAGACACGGCCCAUACUCCUACGGGAGGCAGCAGUAGGGAAUCUUCCACAAUGGGCGCAAGCCUGAUGGAGCAACACCGCGUGAGUGAAGAAGGGUUUCGGCUCGUAAAGCUCUGUUGUUAAAGAAGAACACGUAUGAGAGUAACUGUUCAUACGUUGACGGUAUUUAACCAGAAAGUCACGGCUAACUACGUGCCAGCAGCCGCGGUAAUACGUAGGUGGCAAGCGUUAUCCGGAUUUAUUGGGCGUAAAGAGUAGUGCAGGCGGUUUUCUAAGUCUGAUGUGAAAGCCUUCGGCUUAACCGGAGAAGUGCAUCGGAAACUGGAUAACUUGAGUGCAGAAGAGGGUAGUGGAACUCCAUGUGUAGCGGUGGAAUGCGUAGAUAUAUGGAAGAACACCAGUGGCGAAGGCGGCUACCUGGUCUGCAACUGACGCUGAGACUCGAAAGCAUGGGUAGCGAACAGGAUUAGAUACCCUGGUAGUCCAUGCCGUAAAC
RNAcentral lists this ribosomal RNA (761 nucleotides) under Limosilactobacillus fermentum. RNAcentral's name for it is "bacterial SSU rRNA". It matches the Rfam family "Bacterial small subunit ribosomal RNA", at positions 65 to 807 of the family's 1533-position model. Lineage: Bacteria; Bacillati; Bacillota; Bacilli; Lactobacillales; Lactobacillaceae. The record is from RNAcentral.